CUAACGGGGAUACUCCCUGGGAAGUCACUUUCUUUGGGCUCUGUCCAAGUGACCUAAGGGAGCAUAGUCUCUGCCCUGUGAUGUACAGUCCCUUAGCACAAUGCUGGAGAAGAAUCUGGGCCUCGAGUCAAGACCUGCAUAUCUCUACAACUUGUUGGAGUCUUGUGAACAAUGACUAAGGAGACCAACUGCACAGGAAAAGAAA
Molecule: small nucleolar RNA, 205 nt
Organism: Marmota marmota marmota (Alpine marmot)
Lineage: Eukaryota; Metazoa; Chordata; Mammalia; Rodentia; Sciuridae
Gene: SNORA73
Rfam family: Small nucleolar RNA SNORA73 family
About the family: U17 (SNORA73A and SNORA73B) also known as E1 belongs to the H/ACA class of small nucleolar RNAs (snoRNAs). Vertebrate U17 is intron-encoded and ranges in length from 200-230 nucleotides, longer than most snoRNAs.
Source: Ensembl